UUCCGGUUGAUCCUGCCGGACCCGACUGCUAUUUGGGUGAGGAUAAGCCAUGCGAGUCGAAUGGGAUACCUAAAUUUCCCAUGGCGAACUGCUCAAUAACACAUGAUCAACUUACCCUAUAGAGAAAAAUAACCUCGGGAAACUGAGGAUAAUGUUUCAUAGUUGAAAAGGCUUGGAAAAGUUUUUCGACCAAAGGGAUAAGAAAAAUGGUUUUUAUCCGCUAUAGGAUAGGAUCGUGGUCGAUUAUGGUCGUUGGUGAGGUAAUGGCUCACCAAGCCGAUAAUCGAUAGGGGCCGUGAGAGCGGGAGCCCCGGGAUGGGUACUGAGACAGCGACCCAGGCCUUACGAGGCGCAGCAGGCGCGAAACCUCCGCAAUACACGAAAGUGUGACGGGGUUACCCAAAGUGUUCAAUUUUGAACUGUGGUAGGUGAGUAAUGUUCCCUACUAGAAAGGAGAGGGCAAGGCUGGUGCCAGCCGCCGCGGUAAAACCAGCUCUUCAAGUGGUCGGGAUAAUUAUUGGGCUUAAAGUGUCCGUAGCCGGUUUAGUAAGUUCCUGGUAAAAUCGGGUAGCUUAACUAUCUAUAUGCUAGGAAUACUACUAUACUAGAGGGCGGGAGAGGUCUGAGGUACUACAGGGGUAGGGGUGAAAUCUUAUAAUCCUUGUUGGACCACCAGUGGCGAAGGCGUCAGACUGGAACGCGCCUGACGGUGAGGGACGAAAGCCAGGGGAGCGAACCGGAUUAGAUACCCGGGUAGUCCUGGCCGUAAACGAUGCAUACUAGGUGAUGGCACGGCCAUGAGCCGUGUCAGUGCCGUAGGGAAACCGUUAAGUGUGCCGCCUGGGAAGUACGGUCGCAAGGCUAAAACUUAAAGGAAUUGGCGGGGGAGCACCACAAGGGGUGAAGCCUGCGGUUCAAUUGGACUCAACGCC
RNAcentral lists this ribosomal RNA (932 nucleotides) under uncultured archaeon. Its description in RNAcentral is "bacterial SSU rRNA". It matches the Rfam family "Archaeal small subunit ribosomal RNA", at positions 1 to 919 of the family's 1478-position model. The record is from RNAcentral.